AGGCUACAUAGAGAAACCCUGUCUCAAAAAAAAACCCAAACAAAAGGAAAACCUGAAUAGAGUUCCCCAAGGGGCCCUGGUGUGCAACAGGAGCCUCUUUAGUAGUGUAUACAGCUGGUUGCCUAUAUGGGUUGUCCUAAGGGACCUUGGAGGCAAUU
Molecule: small nucleolar RNA, 158 nt
Filed under: Mus caroli (Ryukyu mouse)
Lineage: Eukaryota; Metazoa; Chordata; Mammalia; Rodentia; Muridae
Description: predicted gene, 26277 (MGP_CAROLIEiJ_G0036502.1)
Rfam family: Small nucleolar RNA SNORA70 (bases 38-158)
About the family: snoRNA U70 seems to be exclusive to mammals and is a member of the H/ACA class of snoRNA which contain H (ANANNA) and ACA box motifs. H/ACA box snoRNAs are involved in the conversion of uridines to pseudouridines (5-ribosyluracil) a constituent of structural RNAs (transfer, ribosomal, small nuclear, and small nucleolar).
Source: RNAcentral